This 432-nucleotide ribosomal RNA is filed under the name uncultured bacterium. RNAcentral's name for it is "partial 16S ribosomal RNA". It matches the Rfam family "Bacterial small subunit ribosomal RNA", at positions 29 to 507 of the family's 1533-position model. The record is from RNAcentral.
AACGAACGCUGGCGGCAUGCCUAACACAUGCAAGUCGAACGAGACCUUCGGUUCUAGUGUCCCCCGGUUGCGAACCGCUUAGGAACCUGUCCUUAGGUUCGGCAUAACUUCCCGAUAGGUUUACUAAUCCCGGAUAAUUUCUUCGUACCAAUGCUUUCUCGCCUUUGGAUGGGCGCGCGUUGGAGUAGCUAGUUGUUAGGUUAAAAGCCUACCAAGGCGACGAUCCAUAGCUGGUCUGAGAGGAUGAUCAGCAGACUGGGACUGAGACACGGCCCAGACGCGUAGGAGAGGCGGGAGAGGGUGAUAAAGGACAGGAGGCGAAAGGCUGAUCCAGCAAGGCCGGGUGAACGAUGAAGGGGUUAUGGAUGGAAAGCUGUAGUAGCCGGGAUGAUAAUGACAGUACCGGGAGAAUAAGCACCGGCUAACUCCGUG